Molecule: ribosomal RNA, 301 nt
Filed under: uncultured bacterium
Lineage: Bacteria
Description: partial 16S ribosomal RNA
Rfam family: Bacterial small subunit ribosomal RNA
Source: RNAcentral
CAGCCGCCGCGGGAAUACGGAGGGCGCGAGCGUUACCCGGAUUUACUGGGCGUAAAGGGCGUGUAGGCGGCCUGGGGCGUCCCAUGUGAAAGGCCACGGCUCAACCGUGGAGGAGCGUGGGAUACGCUCAGGCUAGAGGGUGGGAGAGGGUGGUGGAAUUCCCGGAGUAGCGGUGAAAUGCGCAGAUACCGGGAGGAACGCCGAUGGCGAAGGCAGCCACCUGGUCCACUUCUGACGCUGAGGCGCGAAAGCGUGGGGAGCAAACCGGAUUAGAUACCCCUGUAGUCCCUGUCUCUUAUAC